AUGCGGCGACUACAAUGCAGUCGAGCGGCUGCAGGAAAAUAUCUUGCUACUUUUGCCGGCGAGCGGCGGAUGGGUGAGUAAUGCCUGGGGAUCUGCCCAGUCUAGGGGGAUAACUACUGGAAACGGUUGCUAAUACCGCACACUCCCUACCGGGGAAAGCAGGGGACCUUCGGGCCUUGCGCGAUUGGAUGAACCCGGGUGGGAUUAGCUAUUUGGUGAGGUAAUGGCUCACCAAGGCCACGAUCCCUAUCUGGUCUGAAAGGAUGAUCAUCCACACUGGAACUGAGACACGGUCCAGACUCCUACGGGAGGCAGCAGUGGGGAAUAUUGCACAAUGGGGGAAACCCUGAUGCAGCCAUGCCGCGUGUGUGAAAAAGGCCUUCGGGUUGUAAAGCACUUUCUCCGAGGAGGAAAGGUUGGUAGCUAAUAACUGCCAGCUGUGACGUUUCUCGCAAAAUAAGCACCGGCCAACUCCGUGCCACCUGCCGCGGUAAUACGGAAGGUGCAAGCGUUAAUCGGAAUUACUGGGCGUAGAGCGCACGCCGGCGGUUGGAUAAUUUAUAUGUGAAAGCCCCGGGCUCAACCUGGGAAUUGCAUUUGACACUGUCCAGCUGGAGUCUUGUAGAGGGGGGUAGAAUUUCAGGUGUAACGGUGAAAUGCGUAAAGAUCUGGAGGAAUACCGGAUGGCCAAUGCCGACCCCUGGAUUCAGACUGACACUUAAGUGCGAAAGCGUGGGGAGCGGACAGGAUUAGAUAUCCUGGUACUCCACGCCCUACACCAUGUCCAUUUGGAGGCUGUGUCCCUUGAGACUUGGCUUCCUGAGCUUACGCGUUAAAUCGAUCAGCCUGGCGGAGUAGGGCCGUCAAGGUUACAACUCAAAUGAAUUUGACGGAGGUGCCGCACGAGCGGUGGAGCAGGUGGUUUUAUUCUAUGCUUCGCGAAGACCCUUACCUGGUCUUGACAUGUCUGGAAUCUCUGUAAAGAUACAGAAAUGCCUUCUUCGAAUCAGAACACAAGUGCUGCAUGGCUGUCGUCUCUCCUGUCCUGGGAGUUUGGGUUAUUUCCUCAACCAGCGCCACACCCGUCCCUUGUUGCUGCUCGUCAUGUGGGAACUCAA
Molecule: ribosomal RNA, 1118 nt
Filed under: Aeromonas veronii
Lineage: Bacteria; Pseudomonadati; Pseudomonadota; Gammaproteobacteria; Aeromonadales; Aeromonadaceae
Description: bacterial SSU rRNA
Rfam family: Bacterial small subunit ribosomal RNA
Source: RNAcentral